RNAcentral lists this ribosomal RNA (258 nucleotides) under uncultured Phaeobacter sp. Its description in RNAcentral is "partial 16S ribosomal RNA". It matches the Rfam family "Bacterial small subunit ribosomal RNA", at positions 329 to 605 of the family's 1533-position model. The record is from RNAcentral. Lineage: Bacteria; Pseudomonadati; Pseudomonadota; Alphaproteobacteria; Rhodobacterales; Roseobacteraceae.
GUACUGACCCUACGGGGGGCAGCAGUGGGGAAUCUUAGACAAUGGGCGCAAGCCUGAUCUAGCCAUGCCGCGUGAGUGACGAAGGCCCUAGGGUCGUAAAGCUCUUUCGCCUGUGGUGAUAAUGACAGUAGCAGGUAAAGAAACCCCGGCUAACUCCGUGCCAGCAGCCGCGGUAAUACGGAGGGGGUUAGCGUUGUUCGGAAUUACUGGGCGUAAAGCGCGCGUAGGCGGAUUGGAAAGUUGGGGGUGAAAUCCCGG